UUAUUUAAAUCAAAUGCGAUUUAUAGAUAACGGUGCUCAAGUUCACUUAGGGUUUAUAUAAUCUGCUAAGGAAAAUGCCCAUAGAUUUGACGGACGCAUCGUUAUCGGGUGAUUGAAUUUCAAUUUUAGCAGCCAUUUCCAUGAUAUUUUUGUUUGGAAUGGUAAGAGGGUCUCCUUUUGUUUAAGUUUUGUUGAUUUCAAGCUUAGAUGUAUGUUAAUAUUCUUAUUUGAAUUACAUGCAUAUAUUGUACAUAAACUAUCAUGGCUUUGUAUUGCAGGAGCACACAUAGUUAUCUGACUAUUAGUACCUCAACCGCUAUCAUAAUUGAUAAAAGUUCUAUUGAGGAGUGAGGACACAGUACGGGCGGACUUUAACAUCAGUUUCCCAUUGUUAUCAUGUGAAUUUACAUUUGUGGAUGUGAGUGAUGUGUUGGGAACAGCAUGCGCUUGUGGUUGUACAUUUUUUUUGCCCCUGGUGCCACUGGAGUAACCUUCUGAUGGAUACUGAAGGUAGCAGUUGUUAAU
Molecule: long non-coding RNA, 525 nt
Filed under: Helianthus annuus (common sunflower)
Lineage: Eukaryota; Viridiplantae; Streptophyta; Magnoliopsida; Asterales; Asteraceae
Description: sRNA HanXRQr2_Chr17g0805701
Source: RNAcentral